CCAGGUCCUAAAAGAUAAGCUGCGACUUAAUUUAUGAAGUUGGAUGAACUAUAUAGGAAAGUUCACAUUGACUUCAUGGGUUCACUUUCUCCUACACAAGAAACCUGAAGAUUAGUGAUAGCUUUGUGAUUCUGCCUGAACUCUUAGAAACAUCUGGCCUUUUAUAGUUUCCUGAUAGCAGUCAGGCAUUUUUGCUUUGGUACAUAGUAACAUAGUGUGUUAUUGUGAUGACUUAAUUACCCACAAAGGAAGGUGAUGGUUUUACACAAUGGCCAUGAAACAUUUGGAGUCUGGGUAGAAAAAAAUUACGUCUGGGGAAAAGAUCAAACACGAACUGGUUUUCCCUUUCUUUCUUUUCUUGAAAAUGGUUACAGUAAAUAAUACUCAGAAAAUCUUACCAUACAAGAAAUCUUAAUCUGUAAUUUCAGUUAUGAUGCUAAGUUUAUAAGGAGAAUACAGGAUGACAUGUAAAUGCCACCAAACCUAUUGGUUAAAGGCAGCAGAAGAAACCACGAUGCAUCUUCUGCCUUUUAAAUUCUAACAAUAGAAUAGCUCUGUCAAGUUUGGAUACGAUCUUCCUUUCAUGGUAAUAUAAACAUUGCUUGCAUUCUUAGCUGUACUGAAAUCUAUGACAGUUAUUUUAUUAACUUUAUCUGGGCCAGUUUUUAUCUUUUGUAUUUAUUUUAUACAUAUAAGGAAAUGUGAAUACCAACACACUGAAUGCCACUAUACUUUUUUAGUGCUUUUCUUUUUGUCUUUCUUCAUCUUUUUGUCUUUCUUUUUGUCACAAUAUCAGCUUGCAUUGUGAUGCUGCACCUGGCUCAGCAUGCGCACAUCUGAUGGAAUGUAUAUGGACACUGUGAAGGAGUAACGUAGGCAAAGGGUGAUUUAUGUCAAGUUGCUGCCUAUUUUGUAAAGCAGUAAUUUGAGAGGUUCGAGUCACCAUCAUCACUACUGAGGAUCCCGAUUUCAGCUGUUCCAGGUGGCUAGGCAAGAAACUCCUAGGUAGCAACAAGAUGAAUCUCACAACUGCAGCAAACAGAAAAAGUUUCUUCAGGAAGCCAGUAGGAAAAUACAGUGACAUCUGGAAACCUUGCCUCUCAUGUUACUGUAAGAAGGAUCUCACUGAGGGAAAGCUAAAAAGCUAUCUUAGUAACUUUAGACUUGCUUUUAGGAGAGGAAGAGUCACAUUCUGGAAAUGCCUGUGUCUCUCUGUUAACAGAAGUCAGUCCAAGGCUAGCCUUUCUUCCAUGGAUCUGACUGUUGGAAGCCAUAUGUCUAAGACAGUUGGAAGCUACUGAUUCUCCUGGCAGAGCUAAUCACUGAAGAUUUAUAUUAUAAGGUCAGAUUAUGUCCUAACAGGAGCAGAAAUUACCAUUGCAUGUUUAAAAGAAAGAUGAGAAACAUCCUCUCAACUGAGAUGGUAUGAAUGAUCAGUAAACAACUUGUGUACCUAUGGCUACAACACUGGCAUCAUUAGCCAGAUGUCUUUCAAGUUUGUGGACUGUGUUUGAACUACAGCCACUGUACAAUAAAUUAUUGCUGUUGUUCUGUGACAUUAAAGCUGUCAAUCUUCUGAUAAUCUCAGAGAAGUCUUUUAAAGAAGACACAACAACAGAGAGACACAUGACCCAAAUUCAUAUCCUGUUCACAGUAGGCUGAUGCAUGCCUUAUACUUAGGCCACGUGGUAUAAAUAACCUUGUUCUCUGAUUAUGCGACACUCAUCAGCUCCAUUCAGAAGGUUGUUUGAGAGAUUGGAAGCAGCAGUUGGCUGAACAUACCCUACUCCAUCGUCCAUACACUCCUUAUUAUUGAUGCUGCAAAGAAGGAACAAAAGUUUGGGCAAAGAAAUUGAAUAAUUUUCAUUUUCAGAAUGAAAUCCAUUCUUGCAGAGGCGGUGUCUAACUUCACUUUUGUGAAAAUCCAAGAGCCUGACAUAGAAAUUCUAAACAAAUGCCAGCAGUUAGAUUUUUAUUAAUUACUAAAACUAUGUUUUCCAACAAAGAAAGAACCUCAGUCUAAUUUUGGCACACAACAUACACAUGCUCAUGUUCCAAUUAUUCCACUCAUUUACAUAUACUGGAAAUGAAUCUAAGAAAAUUGUAGCAUCAAGACAGCACUGAGUAAUUUAAUAACAGAAACAAAUCAGGAUUUACUUAUCUAUCUGUGACAAUGAAAUGAUUAAAUAGCUUUUAAAUAUCUAAUAAAUUUUUGCUUUGUUUAUUAUGUUGACAAAGGCUUUUCAUUAAAUGUAAAAAUGUGGCCUCAUAGGGACUUACAUGUAACUACAAUGUAGUCCUACAGUUGUUAGUCAAAGAUGAUGCUGGCCAUUUGCCUUGCUGCCUACUUGAUCAAAAAUGUUUCUUCAAGAUCAAACCUGAACAGGACUAUCUACUAUUUAGUAGACUAUCUACUAGAAUUUUCUUAUCACAGUAAAGUUAUACAAGUCAUAUGGAAUGCUGAAAUGUUAAACUAUGUCUUUCAAAGGAACAAUUUGAAACAGCUGUUAUUUUUAUAAAAUACAGUGGUAAAA
Gallus gallus (chicken) is the source of this 2534-nucleotide long non-coding RNA. RefSeq lists it as uncharacterized. The record is from RefSeq and is a predicted model, not a curated record. Lineage: Eukaryota; Metazoa; Chordata; Aves; Galliformes; Phasianidae. The transcript has 5 exons.